Molecule: long non-coding RNA, 383 nt
Organism: Nematostella vectensis (starlet sea anemone)
Lineage: Eukaryota; Metazoa; Cnidaria; Anthozoa; Actiniaria; Edwardsiidae
Exons: 2
Source: RefSeq, a predicted model, not a curated record
GAUGAAGAUAGGGGCAUCAGUCAAGGGUGGUGUUUAGGGUACAUUUCAUCCCUAUAAGAUAAUGCUUCAGCAGUAUUCUUAAGGGAACUUAACCUACAGGUGAUGUGAUGAAGAUAGGGGCAUCAGCUAAGGGUGGUGUUUAGGGUACAUUUCAUCCCUAUAAGAUAAUGCUUCAGCAGUAUUCUCAAGGGAACUUACAGGUGAUGUGAUGAAGAUAGGGGCAUCAGUCAAGGGUGGUGUUUAGGGUACAUUUCAUCCCUAUAAGAUAAUGCUUCAGCAGUAUUCUCAAGGGAACUUAACCUACAGGUGAUGUGAUGAAGAUAGGGGCAUCAGCUAAGGGUGGUGUUUAGGGUACAUUUCAUCCCUAUAAGAUAAUGCUUCAG